This 800-nucleotide ribosomal RNA is filed under the name uncultured bacterium. Its description in RNAcentral is "bacterial SSU rRNA". It matches the Rfam family "Bacterial small subunit ribosomal RNA", at positions 80 to 899 of the family's 1533-position model. The record is from RNAcentral.
AUAAUUGUCAGCUAAGUGGCGCACGGGUGAGUAAUGUAUAGAUAACCUGCCCUUAAGAAAGGAAUAACAGUUGGAAACGACUGCUAACGCCCUAUAUGCCUUUAAUACAUAAGUAUGCAAGGGAAACGCUUUAGUGCUUAAGGAUGGGUCUGUAUGGUAUCAGCUUGUUGGUGAGGUAAUGGCUCACCAAGGCUAUGACGCCUAACUGGUUUGAGAGGAUGAUCAGUCACACUGGAACUGAGACACGGUCCAGACUCCUACGGGAGGCAGCAGUGGGGAAUAUUGCACAAUGGACGAAAGUCUGAUGCAGCAACGCCGCGUGGAGGAUGACACAUUUCGGUGCGUAAACUCCUUUUAUAUAGGAAGAUAAUGACGGUACUAUAUGAAUAAGCACCGGCUAACUCCGUGCCAGCAGCCGCGGUAAUACGGAGGGUGCAAGCGUUACUCGGAAUCACUGGGCGUAAAGAGCGUGUAGGCGGGUAUAUAAGUCAGAAGUGAAAUCCAAUAGCUCAACUAUUGAACUGCUUUUGAAACUGUAUACCUAGAAUGUGGGAGAGGUAGAUGGAAUUUCUGGUGUAGGGGUAAAAUCCGUAGAGAUCAGAAGGAAUACCGAUUGCGAAGGCGAUCUACUGGAACAUUAUUGACGCUGAGACGCGAAAGCGUGGGGAGCAAACAGGAUUAGAUACCCUGGUAGUCCACGCCCUAAACGAUGUACACUAGUUGUUGUGAGGCUCGACCUUGCAGUAAUGCAGUUAACACAUUAAGUGUACCGCCUGGGGAGUACGGUCGCAAGAUUAAAA